Long non-coding RNA from Misgurnus anguillicaudatus (oriental weatherfish), 5870 nucleotides. RefSeq lists it as uncharacterized. NCBI's taxonomy places the organism in Eukaryota, Metazoa, Chordata, Actinopteri, Cypriniformes, Cobitidae. The record is from RefSeq and is a predicted model, not a curated record.
UUGAAAAUAGUGCACACCCACGCUUUAUUGUUGAAUAAUUCAACGGCCCGCCGUCAAUUAUUCCUUACUUAAGACAGCUCAAAUGUUUAUUUUAGGCUUAAGCCUUGUCUGCCAUUUAAGUUUUAAAAGCUACGCCUGUCAAACACAUAAUGCAUUUUUGCUAGACUUGCACUUAGAAAAUACCAAUGACAUCAUAUUGUGACAGCGUUUCUAACAUCUCUGUUGCAGACCUCUGUAAAUGACUGACUCUGGCACUCUGUUGCUGGGCAGAGUGCAUUGUCGUAGUCUCUUAAAGAAAAUGAAAAAAUACUAAUGCUUCACUUUAGCCAUGCACACAAAAGCCAAAGGGAAAAGCGUGAAAGCAAGGCUUUCUAAAGAAAACAUUUGGCAUUGAGAGGAAAGCCAGGCUGACUGUACCCGUGAUAUGUAGUAGUGUAAGGAGAGAGAAAGACGGCUAUGGAUUUUAAUCCAUUCGUCGAUAAAGGUCACUACUCCAAAGGGUUUUAUUUCUCUGCCACACAUCAAAGUGUAAAUCCGCUGAUUGCCGCCGAUGAAUGGGGAGACAACAAGGCUGGGUUUGUGGGUCGUUUCUAUGGCGCAGUGUGUGGGGAGAGGGCCCGUAAUGCGCAGGUUUUCUAUCAGGGGCCCCCAGAUCAAUGGGCUGCCUGACCUUUGCAUUGUGUUCCCGGCUUUGCCCGUGAUGUCAUGCCAUCUAUCCGCCGCUCUUCUUAAAGGGCCGGGAGAAAGGGGGGGCACGGUCCCACACUGUCAUCCCUCCACGAGACUGAAAAGAAAGCAUUAUCUGAAAAUAUUACCACCUGAAACUGCACAAACAACUCAUCUCCACAGAUUAAGAGCAUUGUUUGCUGCAAGAUUCUGCGUGCUGCAAUUUACGCUGACGUCGUAAUCUGCGUUGAAGGUCGCCGUGUGUUUAGAUGUGGAAUAUCAAAAUAUUACACCCUAAUGAUAUGACAAGCAUUGAGAUAUUAAGAUGCAAAGUAUGGGUUUGAAAGCGCCUCGGCACAAGUCGUUAAUCAAAUAAGGCCAAUGGCCUUUUUAAGAUGUUUGUCAGGGAUUGAUCUGCCUUUUGAGUUAAUAUACGCCGGAGCAGAACUUAAGAGGAUAAAAGGGGCGAGCUUCUUAUUGUUCAGCGCUGAAAGCUCCUCUUUGUAGUAGAGAGGGCCGAUGGCAGCUGGUAGGGUCCUCUCCGUUCAUUGAAGAUAGAGAACUUUCUCAGAGUAGCCAAGUGCAUUGGAAUGGAAAUCUAAAGAGUUUCAGACAUAAUCGGGGGGAUCCGGGCAGUGGCGCUGUAAAGGAAAAGACUCGCCUGAGCCAUCUACGCUUCUCGGCAAUAGCGACAGAUGUUGUAAUUGCCAACUGAUGGAUGGGCCGUGGAGGAGGUCAUUACGGCCGGAGAUCCAGGCUGCCGGCCGACGGUGAUGACUCGGAAAAGGAGGAACGGGCCUCUGCCACGGCUGGACGGCCGGACGUUCUCUGGAAGCUGAGAGAUUGAUAAUGGCAUCGGGUGUAUGUCAAGAAAGUUGCCGCACCUCUGAGGUGGUAAUUGAAAUGACAUGGAGACGCUUGGCAUCUUCUCUAACGGAGGGGCGUCGUAUCCAGCGUGGCACCGCGGCAGGUUUCGCCCUCCCGUAUCCAGUCGCGGCUAACCGAGGGCGAUACGUGCAGAGGACACAAUGCACAAUUCCCCCCGCGGCAAUCUCUCCCACGCCUUCACAUCGCUCUUUUUAUUUCCCGCUAUGACACUCUGACAACACUGUACAAUCAAUUAAGCGCUCUGAAACAGGCUUCUGAUCCGCGUUCAAGGCGACGCCAGCGACUCCUCUUUCGUCCCUAACAGGGGUUAAACUCAACCAUCACCCGGUAGCCCAUCAGCUCAGAUCACAAAGCGAGAUGCAUUGCAGCUCUAAUUACAUGCGUACGGGUCUUGAAAAUCCAAUUAUGUUUGCACUUCUAAUCACAUAGCCUAAUUGUACAAAGUAAAUAAAUCAAGGCUGUCCCUCGCCACUGCAAUGGGAUCACCGUACUAAUAGCGACGUAUUAAUCACCUUGAUCACAUCAAUAGCAGGCAGGUAGAGUUCAGCCGCUUUCCUCAUUUGAAUAAUUAACAUCUUAAAACUGUUUCUCCGUUUCCCUCUACAUAAUGCCGCAUUUAAUUGCCAGUUUAUUUAUGUGCCGAAGUCGAAGCCAUGCAUAAUUUAUCAGAGAGUUUUACACGUUUAUGAAAUUGUCUCGCCGAAUUACAAAUGUUACGUUUAUUUAGGAUUAAAUUUUAAUGGCUCUCGCAAUAGCGGAGAUCGUCGUCAAAAUUGAUUUGGAUAAUUGUGUCCUCCAGCUACGGCGCGCCGACGGAAGCCUGAUUUUUCUCGAACCCGUAGACGCGAAACGCCGAACCAAUUAACCUCUUCAUAAGAAACUCUCUAAGUAUGUGCUUUUCCAGCCGUUGUUUGCAACCUCACGCUAAUGGUUAUCCAAGCCAGUGAGGAGAUCAUGAUGGUGACUGGUGCUUGUUAAUACACUAGUUUUCAAUUGGUGGGUCGUGACCCCAAAAUGGAUGGCAGGGCAGCUGGGAAUAAACAAUGCUAAAUGUAAAUAUUGACAUGAAACUAAGCUUAUAAUGGUGCAUUGUUGGGAUAGCAUAACCAGUAGACUUACAGCAUCAAAAAACGGUAAGUUAACAUGUUUUUAUUGACAUUAAAGUCUCUACCGUGUUAAAUUUGACAGAUGCUUACAUGGAAAGCUUGUAUGAAUUGUCCUGAACCUCAAAAACCAUGAACAAAAUUAGUUUAGUUGCUUCCACCUGAAACAAACGAUUUUAUGCUAACCGCAAUGUGUUUUGUUUGGUGCAGUCUAAUCCAGUUACAAAAACACUGUAUGUUCGGAUUUUAGGUUAAAAUAAACAGCUACAUCUGGGUGGGAUAAAGCCACUGGUUUGAGUUUGUUGUACCACAGUCCUAAAGUAGAUUAUUGAUUUCUAUGUAAGAUAUAGGAGGAAUUCUCAGCGUGUAUUUAAGACACAGAUGAAGCGAUGGAAACAUACAUGUAGAGGUGAAGAAGGGGGCAGAGCAGCUCCGCCCGCCCGCAGAGUUUGGCAUGUGCCCUGCGAGUACACCCCGUUGAUUGUGGGUCAAAGUAAAUAACUAGGGCUGAAUGUACGGCCCCCUCUCCUUUCUCUCUCAUGGGGCUCAUUUCAAUGCCCCGCCUCCUGCGCAAGCCCCUCCCACCUCUAGACAGCCACUUUAUUUAACCGGCGUUCCUUUUUUAAUGGUUCUUAAGUCCAUAGUAAAAGAUUUUUGAACAGAUAUUAGCCAUGGUUGGGGUCCAUAUGUAUUCUUGCCCCAGCUACAUAUACAGAUCUAACUGAUUAUGAUAUGAAAAGUAAGAGGUAAGCCAUAAAAAUCCCCAAAAAAUGGAGGCGAUGAUGGACAAAGCAGCUAUACUUCCCACAUAUGUUUGGGAGGCGGCAAAAAUUUUACGGACAAUAAAAAAUCAACGGGUAUCGAUGGUCCUCGCUGGGAAGAGCAGAAAAAAACACAUGAUUUGCGAUAGCAAAGUCAAGCGGUGCAACAAUUUUAAAAAGUGCCCAUAUAUAGUAUUUCAUAAAGUCUUGUUGUGUAUACCUAGAUUUAAAAUACUAUUUUGUCUACAACAAUUAUUAGCAUACAGUUUUUUUCCGUUAAAUAAAAUAGAAAUAAAAGUAGAAAACUGAACAGAAAGUAUACAUUUAUGCUAAAAAUACAGUAAAAAUAAUUUUUGUACUCUAUCUGAUGGUCUAAAUGGGAUGAAAUCUCAACAAAACUUCAAAUAUCAAAACUAAACUAUAAAUAAUUUUAACUUAACGUGAGGACUCAUUAAUAACUUUUAAAAUUAUAUAGGAUAUGGAGGGCAUCCGUGCCCCUUUACUAAACCUCGUUCCCCUAGAUCAUACAGCAAAUAUCAAUUAAACUCCAGUGAAAAACAUGUGCAUCUGUGUAUUUCUUUCCUCCGUACAGACAUACACACACACACGGACACACUAAUGGCUACCCAGCGAGAGGUAGGGAUAGCGUUCCUCUUCCUCUGCAACCCCUUGGCCUCCCGCUGGAGGAAUUCCCAGCCCUCUCCGCAGGUAGCCAGCCACAGCCGAGCCAGAGAACAUGUGUUUUCCUCCCCUGGUUGGGUCAACGUGGGGUUGUUCAUUCAGUGCCGGUGAUAUAGUGGCUGAAACGCAGCGCUGAUCUGAAGUCUGGCCCGCGGAGGAUCGGCUCAUUCGAGUUAGGCCUCUCCACGCAUGAUGGAUUCCACUGGCGCAUGAGAGCAGAUCCAGCCAACAGACCUCUGACGGGCCGGACGCCUCCUCCCAUUGACUGUGCAACUCAAUCAGUGACACAUGCCAACUUCUGAACUCCAAUACAAUGUUGUUGCUCGUUUUUUCUACGUCGACUUCUUUCUCCAAAGGGUUGUGAACUUUAACCGCAAAGUUAUGAAUUUUGGAUUCGAAGCAACAGUAGGACGUUGAGAUCUUACGAAGAGGAUAAACAGACACUUGAUAUUCCUGUUUACAUUUUCACCCCGAACGAGGGAAAUUGCCUCUUUCCAUACGGCAUUUUGAGUUUGUUUAAGGGGAAAACACAUUUUUACUCUGUAAUGUAAAGACAGGCUUGAUCCAAACAGCACUUGAAGUCAUUCCUGUCAUGCUGUUGCUAUUGCUUCUGUUGUGGUUUUCAACCAAAAUUGGUUUGAAUCCAAAUAUUUAUUCAGUAUUUGUGAAACAAAGUAAUACAAUCUCAAAAGGAUCUCUGGAAACUGGAUAAUAUUGGUGAAAUGGAAUCAGAUUUUGUUAUAGUACAUCAGGGCUGGGCGAUCCAAGAAAAAACGAUAACAUUCUUAAAAAUUUGAGUAACAAUAAUAUUUCAACCCAAUAUACCUAUUUAUAUAGAAAAGUAUUUUUAAAAUUAUAGAAAAAUCUCUUUGACUAAAAGCCACGUCCAAAGUUAAUCUAAUCCUUUCAUAUUUAAGAAACAUGCAAUAGCUUAAGGUUGACUGUAAUAAAUAUUUUAUUAUCUUUUAUAAAUGAUUUAUAAAUCUAAAGCAAACAUCUUUAAAAAUCAACUUUUAUGGCCUUCCAUUUUACAUAAUAAUAAUAAUGUUUUCUGGUAACAUUUUUAAAUGUACAUUUUGUGCAAAUUCACUCUCUGACCUUUUAUUCUCCAUACUGUAACUAUACUUAGGCUCUUUUUAACAGUUAUGUUAUCUCGAUUAUAACAAUUAUAAUUAUGUAUUUUUCAAGAGCCCUAUAGGGAGACCAUGGACCCCCAUAACAUUAUCUAUAGAACGAAAACGAGUUUUACAUUUGAAAUAUGUAUUCACAUACUUUCUUAUUAUUUGAUGAAGAACACGUGCAUUACACUGCAUUUCAAUGUGUUUACAUUCGUUAAACAGUAACCUAUUAUUGAUUUUAAUUAAAUGCAUAUUUUCACAAUUUUUUCCUCAAAAUUAAUUUUAUAUCAAAUAAUGAUUGGUGAACCCCCUGCCGCACCCCAGUGGACCCCCUAGAGGGUUACGGAUCCCCAGUUGAAGACCCCUGGUCUCAAUAUUCAGCUUGGUUUUAUUGUUAAUACAUAGUAUUAAUAUGUAACUUUCAAAAGCACAAAACAUAUUUUUUGUAUGUUUAAAUAGAUGCUUAAGCAUACAAUGUAGACACAUUUGCAUAAUGUAUUUGACGUACUUGCAUGACAUAAUGUAUUUAACCAUUUUAUCGAUAAUGUUACCACCCUACCCCAAACCUUACUCUAAACCCAAACCAGUUUUAUACCAAAAUGUUAAAAAUAUAAUGUAUUCGUUAUAUAUUAUGCAACGUAAUACACAGAAAU